GAUGAAGAACGCAGCGAAAUGCGAUAAGUAGUGUGAAUUGCAGAAUUCAGUGAAUCAUCGAAUCUUUGAACGCACAUUGCGCCCGCCAGUAUUCUGGCGGGCAUGCCUGUUCGAGCGUCAUUUCAACCAUCAAGCCCCCGGGCUUGUGUUGGGGACCUGCGGCUGCCCGCAGGCCCUGAAAACCAGUGGCGGGCUCGCUGUCACACCGAGCGUAGUAGCAUCAUCUCGCUCAGGGCGUGCUGCGGGUUCCGGCCGUUAAAAAGCCUCUAAUACCCAAGGUUGACCUCGGAUCAGGUAGGAAGACCCGCUGAACUUAAGCAUAUCAAUAAGCGGAGGA
RNAcentral lists this unclassified non-coding RNA (337 nucleotides) under soil metagenome. RNAcentral describes it as "partial contains 5.8S ribosomal RNA, internal transcribed spacer 2, and large subunit ribosomal RNA". The stretch from base 1 to 120 matches the Rfam family "5.8S ribosomal RNA", at positions 35 to 154 of the family's 154-position model. The record is from RNAcentral.